RNAcentral lists this ribosomal RNA (419 nucleotides) under uncultured bacterium. RNAcentral's name for it is "bacterial SSU rRNA". It matches the Rfam family "Bacterial small subunit ribosomal RNA", at positions 358 to 774 of the family's 1533-position model. The record is from RNAcentral.
GGAAUAUUGGUCAAUGGGAGGAAUCCUGAACCAGCCAUGCCGCGUGGGGGAAGAAGGUCCUAUGGGUUGUAAACCCCUUUUACGCCGGAGUAAUAAGAGCCUUGCGAGGCUCGAUGAGAGUAUGGCGGGAAUAAGCAUCGGCUAACUCCGUGCCAGCAGCCGCGGUAAUACGGAGGAUGCAAGCGUUAUCCGGAUUUAUUGGGUUUAAAGGGUGCGCAGGCGGGCUGUUAAGUCAGCGGUGAAAUGUCCCGGCUCAACCGGGGCCCUGCCGUUGAUACUGGCAGUCUGGAGUGCGGACGGCGCCGGCGGAAUGUGUCGUGUAGCGGUGAAAUGCUUAGAUAUGACACAGAACACCGAUCGCGAAGGCAGCUGGCGAGGCCGUUACUGACGCUGAGGCACGAAAGCGUGGGGAUCAAACA